Tetranychus urticae (two-spotted spider mite) is the source of this 1670-nucleotide long non-coding RNA. RefSeq lists it as uncharacterized. NCBI's taxonomy places the organism in Eukaryota, Metazoa, Arthropoda, Arachnida, Trombidiformes, Tetranychidae. The record is from RefSeq and is a predicted model, not a curated record.
AAAAUCAAACAAUAACAAUGAAAUAGGUCAAGAUCAUUAAAAAUAUUUUUGUAAAAUUUUGUGUAACGGUCAAUUGUUGAUGAGUUAAUGAUCCCUAAAGUGAAAGCGAAGACAUUUCAAAACAAAACCUAAAUAAGCAUAAGAUCCGUUAAGGCUAAAAUUACAGACUUGUAACUGACUAAUCAAUGGUUUCUUUUUUUGUGUAUUUCAAUAUUUUAAACAACAAUAAUAAAAUGAUGAAAUUGUGAAUAAAUUACAUUAAUAACAGUAAUGGUUAAGCUGAUUCUGGAAAAAUGAUCAUGUUGAUUUAUUGUUCAAUUUGUGCUAUAAAUGAGUCAAAGCCAUCAAAGGGUUGAUUUUUCAUCAAUAUUUCAAGCCAAAUUUAACUCUAGCUGAUUUUUUUAUUCCUUAUUUGUGUGUUUCAUCCUGUUUUGUCAACUCUUUACAACUUACCGUGAGCUAUUCGAUGAGCCCAAUAGAAGCCAAAAUCAAUGGCUAUGAAACAUAAAUACCAGGUCCAUAACGAGUCCCAUGGAAGUGUUGUUAUGCGGAACCUCUCAUAUACAAAACAAUACAUUAUAAUUUCAAUACUUCGGACUUUUAUUCUGUUGGCAAAUCAAAUUUUGGGAAAGAAAGAAAAUAGAAAAUGCUUAGGAGUUACACUGAAAGAAAUGCUCAUUUUUUGUUGAUGUUGGAAAUCAAUUUGGAGCCAGUUUAUUCGAAGGAUUUGACGUUAAUUUAACCAAAGAAUAAGGUGUUGAUGUUACAAUAGAUGUUGGAUUUGUUGUUAAUAUUAACUUGACCAAUUAGUUAAAGCCAGCAAUCAAACUGUUUACACCAUUAAACUGGACUAACUUGAACUAAUCAUACUGAAAACUUAAUCAGUCUUGAAAAAUAUUGACCUGGUUUGGGAAAUGAAAGCGAAAACAUGGCUUGAAUCAUCUAAAUCGAGAAAAAAUUAAUCAUCGUCUUAAUCAACUCUCUCCCAUUGGAUGGCUAUUAAGUCAAUUUUUUUCAAUACUAAUCAAUUAAUUUUUGAGGCCAACAGUUAUGGUGUUUCAGUAAAAGCAUUAGAAAUCGAUUUAAAUGGACUUAAAAAAUCAAACGCAAACAUUUAGGAUAAAAGUCAUAACCAAAUGAAUUGACAACAUGAAGCAGAUUUAAUCAACAAUUAGAUUGAGAUGUGAUAAACUGAAAUGGUGUUCAAAUCAGAAACAAUAGCUGGAUUACUUGGAAUGGACUGAAGAUGAGUUUCGCUGCUGUCAUGUUGAGACUAUCAGUAUUGAUUUAUCAAUUUUCAAUUGCUUAUUGAGAUACAUGAUUCCAACUAAUCAAAAAUAUUAACAAUAAACCGUCAUAAACAAAGUAAUGUAAAUGAAACUUUCAUUUAUUCCUGGUUUCAACUUUAAUUUGAAUAUAAUCUUGAUUCUCAAGCCGUUGACCUGAUUCUUCACUGUUAACCAUGUUUCCUCAAAUAUUAUAUCAUUCAUUUCAUCUUCUCCAUCAGCAUCUGAGGGACCGGUUAUUUUUACUCACCUCACUUUCUCACUUUCAUCAACAUCAACAUCAUCCACAUCGUUAUCAUUACCAUUCUUUGAUGUUUCGUCAUUUUUUUUGACCAUUUUACUGGACUCUCUUCAAAUUGAAUGCAGUUGUCUGAUUGUCCAGAA